UUGACCUCGGAUCAGGUAGGGUUACCCGCUGAACUUAAGCAUAUCAAUAAGCGGAGGAAAAGAAACCAACAGGGAUUACCUCAGUAACGGCGAGUGAAGCGGUAACAGCUCAAAUUUGAAAUCUGGUCCCCUCUGGGGGCCCGAGUUGUAAUUUGAAGAGGAUGCUUUUGGCGAGGCGCCUUCCGAGUGCCCUGGAACGGGACGCCACAGAGGGUGAGAGCCCCGUAUGGUAGGACGCCGAGCCUCUGUAAAGCUCCUUCGACGAGUCGAGUAGUUUGGGAAUGCUGCUCAAAAUGGGAGGUAAACCCCUUCUAAAGCUAAAUAUUGGCCAGAGACCGAUAGCGCACAAGUAGAGUGAUCGAAAGAUGAAAAGCACUUUGAAAAGAGAGUUAAACAGCACGUGAAAUUGUUGAAAGGGAAGCGCUUGCGACCAGACUUGCGCCCGUCGGAUCAACCGUCCCUCGUGGGCGGCGCACUCCGGCGGGCUCAGGCCAGCAUCAGUUUUCCUGGGGGGAGAAAGGCGGUGGGAAUGUAGCUCUUCGGAGUGUUAUAGCCCUCCGCGUAAUACCCCCGGGGGGACUGAGGACCGCGCGAAAGCAAGGAUG
This 605-nucleotide ribosomal RNA is filed under the name Wardomyces inflatus. RNAcentral's name for it is "eukaryotic LSU rRNA". It matches the Rfam family "Eukaryotic large subunit ribosomal RNA", at positions 1 to 625 of the family's 3401-position model. Lineage: Eukaryota; Fungi; Ascomycota; Sordariomycetes; Microascales; Microascaceae. The record is from RNAcentral.